GAUGAACGCUGGCGGCGUGCCUAAUACAUGCAAGUCGAACGAAACUUCUUUAUCACCGAGUGCUUGCACUCACCGAUAAAGAGUUGAGUGGCGAACGGGUGAGUAACACGUGGGCAACCUGCCCAAAAGAGGGGGAUAACACUUGGAAACAGGUGCUAAUACCGCAUAACCAUAGUUACCGCAUGGUAACUAUGUAAAAGGUGGCUAUACUACCGCUUUUGGAUGGGCCCGCGGCGCAUUAGCUAGUUGGUAGGGUAAAGGCUUGCCAAGGCAAUGAUGCGUAGCCGAAUUGAGAGGUUGAUCGGCCACAUUGGGACUGAGACACGGCCCAAACUCCUACGGGAGGCAGCAGUAGGGAAUCUUCCACAAUGGGCGAAAGCCUGAUGGAGCAACGCCGCGUGGGUGAAGAAGGUCUUCGGAUCGUAAAACCCUGUUGUUAGAGAAGAAAGUGCAUGAGAGUAACUGUUCACGUUUCGACGGUAUCUAACCAGAAAGCCACUGCUAACUACGUG
This 512-nucleotide ribosomal RNA is filed under the name uncultured bacterium. RNAcentral describes it as "partial 16S ribosomal RNA". It matches the Rfam family "Bacterial small subunit ribosomal RNA", at positions 28 to 507 of the family's 1533-position model. The record is from RNAcentral.